Long non-coding RNA from Papaver somniferum (opium poppy), 790 nucleotides. RefSeq lists it as uncharacterized. NCBI's taxonomy places the organism in Eukaryota, Viridiplantae, Streptophyta, Magnoliopsida, Ranunculales, Papaveraceae. The record is from RefSeq and is a predicted model, not a curated record. The transcript has 3 exons.
CCCUAUUCUUCUUCUCGAGUCUUCUCCUCUUUUCUUCUUGUUUCUACCGCAUAAUCACUUCCUCUACCUGUGUUCUCCCAUUCUCAAACAGCAGCAGGCAACAAAAAAAAAACGAGAAAUUAACCCUGGUAUUUCGUUCCAUGAGAGCUUUCGGGAACAUCCUCCAGCUCUAAACCUGGUGACAAACGGUGCUAAUUUUACAGUGAAUUGAUCAAGCUCUCCACCAGCCCUCUGAAGGAAGAUGUUGAACAAACUAACAACGAGGUUCAAUGGUCGCAUGGAGACGAACAAGAAACAUAAAUCUGUAGCCGAGGCGGAUUAUAAUUUAAUCUCUACUGGUCAAAUUAAGGAGGUUGAUGUUCCCCAGUUAGGGAGGUUUCCUAUAUUGGAAGAUGAUAAAGAGCACGCUUCUACGGACAUCGCAGGUGCAGACGAUCAAAAAUUUAAGUAUCAACAUCGUGGAUCCCUGGCAUCGGUAAUUCAUCACUAUCAAACUCCAAGACCGCUCUGGAUUAUUAGGUAAUUGAAGUUCAAUAUCAGCUUUGAUACAAGUCCACAACACCGCUUCUGUUUGAUCAGUUCCAACACCAGGAUCUUGAGAUAUUGAUAAAUGAAUUCUACAUAUCGUUACAUUUUCGAUUGUUGAAAAAUUUGGACCUCGUGCUACUCGUGGUGACAUUGUAAGAUUGUUGAAAAAUUUGGACCUUUUGCUACUCGUGGUGCCAUUGUAAGCGAUUCAAUGAAAAAAUUCUAAAUAAUUUGAAAGAGGAAAUACUUCUUCUUAUUAUUC